This 484-nucleotide ribosomal RNA is filed under the name uncultured bacterium. RNAcentral describes it as "partial 16S ribosomal RNA". It matches the Rfam family "Bacterial small subunit ribosomal RNA", at positions 30 to 507 of the family's 1533-position model. The record is from RNAcentral.
AUUGAACGCUGGCGGCAGGCCUAACACAUGCAAGUCGAGCGGAUGAAGGGAGCUUGCUCCUGGAUUCAGCGGCGGACGGGUGAGUAAUGCCUAGGAAUCUGCCUGGUAGUGGGGGAUAACGUCCGGAAACGGGCGCUAAUACCGCAUACGUCCUGAGGGAGAAAGUGGGGGAUCUUCGGACCUCACGCUAUCAGAUGAGCCUAGGUCGGAUUAGCUAGUUGGUGGGGUAAAGGCCUACCAAGGCGACGAUCCGUAACUGGUCUGAGAGGAUGAUCAGUCACACUGGAACUGAGACACGGUCCAGACUCCUACGGGAGGCAGCAGUGGGGAAUAUCGGACAAAGGGCGAAAGCCUGAUCCAGCCAUGCCGCGUGUGUGAAGAAGGUCUUCGGAUUGUAAAGCACUUUAAGUUGGGAGGAAGGGCAGUAAGUUAAUACCUUGCUGUUUUGACGUUACCAACAGAAUAAGCACCGGCUAACUUCGUG